GACGAACGCUGGCGGCGUGCUUAACACAUGCAAGUCGAACGGAAAGGCCCUGCUUUUGUGGGGUGCUCGUGUGGCGAACGGGUGAGUAACACGUGAGUAACCUGCCCUUGACUUUGGGAUAACUCCAGGAAACUGGGGCUAAUACCGGAUAGGAGCUCCUGCUGCAUGGUGGGGGAUGGAAAGUUUCGGCUGUUGGGGAUGGACUCGCGGCUUAUCCGCUUGAUGGUCGGGUAGUGGCUUACCAAGGCUUAGACGGGUAGCCGACAUGAGAGGGUUAACGGCCACAUGGGGUCUGAGAUACGGCCCAGACUCCUACGGGAGGCAGCAGUGGGGAAUAUUGCGCAAUGGGCGGAAGCCAGAUGCAGAAGCGCCGCGUGCGGGAAAACGGCCUUCGGGUUGUAAACCGCUUUCGACUGUGACGAAGCGUGAGUGACGGUAAUGGGUAAAGAAGCACCGGCUAACUACGUG
Molecule: ribosomal RNA, 468 nt
Filed under: uncultured bacterium
Lineage: Bacteria
Description: partial 16S ribosomal RNA
Rfam family: Bacterial small subunit ribosomal RNA
Source: RNAcentral